This 132-nucleotide ribosomal RNA is filed under the name Myotis davidii. The record is from RNAcentral. Lineage: Eukaryota; Metazoa; Chordata; Mammalia; Chiroptera; Vespertilionidae.
UACAGCUAUAACACCCUGAAUGCACCCGAUCUUGUCUGAUCUCAGAAGCUAAGCAGAAUCGGGCCUGGUUAGUACUUGGAUGGGAGAAAUAAAUAAAAAUAACCCAUUUCAGAAAAACCAAGAUGGCAGCAU